Molecule: ribosomal RNA, 396 nt
Filed under: uncultured bacterium
Lineage: Bacteria
Description: partial 16S ribosomal RNA
Rfam family: Bacterial small subunit ribosomal RNA
Source: RNAcentral
AUACGUAGGUGGCAAGCGUUAUCCGGAAUUAUUGGGCGCAAAGCGCAUGUAGGCGGUUUGGUAAGUCGGUCGUGAAAAUGCGGUGCUUAACGCCGUAUGGCGAUUGAAACUGCUGAACUUGAGUGCAGGAGAGGAAAGGGGAACUCCCAGUGUAGCGGUGAAAUGCGUAGAUAUUGGGAAGAACACCGGUGGCGAAGGCGCCUUUCUGGACUGUGUCUGACGCUCAGAUGCGAAAGCCAGGGUAGCGAACGGGAUUAGAUACCCCGGUAGUCCUGGCCGUAAACGAUGGGUACUAGGUGUGGGAGGUAUCGGCUCCUUCCGUGCCGGAGUUAACGCAAUAAGUACCCCGCCUGGGGAGUACGGCCGCAAGGCUUAAACUCAAAGGAAUUGACGGGG